UGGCCCGAAAGUUCGAUCGUAGAAGGAGUGUCAACUCCCAUCACCGUGGAUGGUUCGGCCCUUGUGAGCGUCCGACACAUCAUCGGUCGUCGGGUUCAUGCGGACUCUUAGUCCGAGUCAAGACGUCGGGACUCGACCUUCUUGGUGAGCGCCGGUCGUUAGUCGAAGGGUUAAAACUCCGAAAUUUGAAACUGGAUUUGUAUUCCGAAUGAACAAGUACAAAGUUCAUUGGU
Molecule: long non-coding RNA, 233 nt
Filed under: Elaeis guineensis (African oil palm)
Lineage: Eukaryota; Viridiplantae; Streptophyta; Magnoliopsida; Arecales; Arecaceae
Description: long non-coding RNA (EGUI_LNC074147)
Source: RNAcentral